Molecule: long non-coding RNA, 256 nt
Filed under: Gallus gallus (chicken)
Lineage: Eukaryota; Metazoa; Chordata; Aves; Galliformes; Phasianidae
Source: RNAcentral
CUGUACGUGGUACUGUGAAGUCUCAUGCAUGAUGAUAUUGGAAUUGGAGUAUUUCUUCCUUUGUUCAUACAGGUCCUUCCCGCUCAGCUUGGAGGCUCCGUCCGCUUUGCCCAUGCUGCCAUUUGUUGAGCCAGGGCUGCUGCUGAGGGAUCCCUUGAGACUCAUGUUGCUUCACAGGACGGGCAGCGAUGCUGAGCAGCCCCUCGUGUCCCCAGAUGGUCCCCUGGGCUCCUCUCGCUCCUGUCCCAGAUAGCCG